This 220-nucleotide long non-coding RNA is filed under the name Mytilus galloprovincialis (Mediterranean mussel). Lineage: Eukaryota; Metazoa; Mollusca; Bivalvia; Mytilida; Mytilidae. The record is from RNAcentral.
AAAAUGUGACAAACAGCAAAAUAUAUACAAAUGAACGAAUGUUCAUUGCAUUGCAUUGGUUCUUCAUGCCUGGAAAAGUACUUAAUUUGAAACUUUGUUUAUUGUUUUUAAUCGUAAAUACACUGACAUAUAGCAUUUUUAACUAUAGGCAAUUUGUACAAUCACUUGAAAAAAAUUGGACACACUCGAAAAAGUCCGGACUGCUCUCGAAAAAACCCGA